Sceloporus undulatus (fence lizard) is the source of this 2340-nucleotide long non-coding RNA. RefSeq lists it as uncharacterized. Lineage: Eukaryota; Metazoa; Chordata; Lepidosauria; Squamata; Phrynosomatidae. The transcript is spliced from 4 exons. The record is from RefSeq and is a predicted model, not a curated record.
GCUGAUUGUAUUAAUUAAUUAGAAAGGUAUAAUUGCCUUGUGGAUCUACUGGGUCUUGGAAGCAUUCAUUGAAUUCUGGUAUCCAUGUUGCUCUCAUGAUCUCAUGGCCUCAAGUACAAUACUGGCAGAAAGAAAUACUUCAACAAGCAUGUAGUCCUUAAUGUGAUGAAUAUGCUGGAUUGAUAAACUGCUUCUACUAGCAUGGAAGCCUCCAGAUUCCACUGGGUAGAACAUGAUCCUCCCCUUGGUGAGAAUAGCUGUACCAGCUGAGUGAUUAGUGCAGCUCCUGACAUAACCAGGCGUGAGGUUACCAGCGCAUGUACUGCAGUCUCAAGGUCGCUGAUAACAGGCACUCCUGACCGUCACAUUCACCUGAUUUGUCAUGUGAAGCAAUGGAUCUAGGAGCACACACAGACUGCGAGCACAGUCCUUUGAGGAGAAUGUGACCCCUUCCAAGACUGGAGGUUGUAUCCCAAUAUCUGAGUUUGGAGCCGACACUGUAAAUACCUCCGUUUUGUCUGGAUUCAGCUUCAAUUUGUUUUCCCUCAUCCAAUGGAACAUUGAAGCCUCAGAAAAUGGUGGUUUUCGAACAUACCAAAGUGUUGCAGAGGAAUUAUUCUGUGUAGAAAAAUAUGCCCACAAUUUUUUUUCUGCACAGAAAACUGGUUUCCUGAGCUAACAUCCUUUUUUCCCCUUGUGUGAAGAGCACAUUGCUUUUGGCACAGGAAACCUUUUUCUGCAUUAAAAAAAAGGGGGGGGGUGUUUUUUUUUCCUUUUUUUCAGUAAAGCAUGUGUUUCCUGUGCAGAAUAAUCCCUUCACAACACCUUGGGACACUCAAAAUACAUAAAGAAUACUGUGGAGGAAUGUUUGUUUCUCUCACAGUGUGGAGAAAACUACUGUAAUUAUUCAUCUCUACAUCCAAGGAUGAAAUAGUCAAGAUUUCACAUCCCUUACAUGCACUUGGGCCUAUUGUAACAAUUGUAGGAAGGCACAGAGCGAAAGGCUAGUGUUACAACAUGCGUUCCAUCUUGUUGCUAAGCCCUGGCAGCAAUGGCAGAGGGUGAUUUACCCCAGAAAACUCUCCAAGGGUUAAAGUAAACGUUCUGAAAGCAUCAACUACCAUGUUUAUUAUAGAUAAGGCCAUACAGGAUGCAAGUCCUAAUGAGAAUGGCAACUGCUGGGCACAUCUGCCACAGCUCAGCCACCACAAUAUGCUUUGGGAGUUCCCCCUGAACCUGGAUGCUAUAUUAUCAGAUUAUCUGAGUUUUAGGUCCAUCUAUCCAGUCUGUUCUCAUGUCCAUUUCCACAAUUGCCAGACUGAGAAACGUUUUUUGACUGCCACCAAACCUUUGCUUGCUCUACCUCAGCAGCAUCAUAACAACCUAUGCCUAAUCUGAAGUUUAGGCCUUUAAAUCUCAUGAAAUGGGAUAUUGGUGUCCUGAUAAUCCUGUUUAUUUGUACAAUGAUAAAAAAGAAACCUAUUUCCAUUCUGCUCUUAUAGUGGUGGCAUCAUUUUCAAAAGAGUUGUUCAUGUUAGUCUGUGGGGAAAAACAGAAGAUUCAAGGGGCACCUUAAAAGUUAACAAAUGUACUAUUGAUGUUAAUACAUCAGACAUUAAUAGUAUUAUUACUUGUUAUGAGUUUGAACUACUUUAAGAGAAGCCUGGUAGUACUAGAUGAAAUCUGGUGUUUCAUGAGCAAGUUUCCUUUCGUAUAACAGUAUUUUCUCAACUUGUCCUACACGCUGUAGCUCCUCUUGCUACCACCCCCCUCCCCAUUUGUUCAGAGGGUCCCCCAAUUCUCUAGAAUGGUCCUUGGAAGAAAGGAUAAUUUCUGCUGUUCAUUGGCAGGAAGAAUUCAUUGGAUACCCCCCUUUUGAUUUAGAAGUAAGUAAAAUAAUGUAUUUGUCAUUUUGCAGUCCCUUCAAGUUUAUGGUUAGUUAGCAGAACAUCACUGUCCCACCAUCCAUACAAGCUGAAGCAUUUUCUCCUGGAAAUGGAAUUGGCAUUCCAGUUCAGCAACAUCUGCAGCCAGCCCUCAAAAGCCCUUUUGCCAAAGAGUGUUAUGUACCUCUCUUUACUACUGCAUCUGAUUCAUUUUGUUGUUCUCUGCCAUACACUGCUUGAUUUGGCUAAGUAUGAGCACUGAGGAUAAUGAAAUAUGUACAACAAACUGCUAUUUCUGUUGGCACACACUAAUGGGAAUGUUAUGUCCUUUUUUUAUGGGAAAUGAAGACCUGCUUGAGACUGCAUCACAAUGAGACUAAAUGAAGUGUAGACUACAAGCAGGAACACAGGAAAUUACCCUAUGCUUCACAUAAAUGUUUUGAAACUACACAUA